GGGUGAAUAGACGACACGUUCACUAUUUUGCAAAAAUAGUGCUAAGGGUUUUCCCUUUUCACCCU
Molecule: transfer RNA, 65 nt
Filed under: Tristoma integrum
Lineage: Eukaryota; Metazoa; Platyhelminthes; Monogenea; Capsalidea; Capsalidae
Description: tRNA-Cys
Source: RNAcentral